Molecule: non-coding RNA, 108 nt
Filed under: Clostridium tyrobutyricum
Lineage: Bacteria; Bacillati; Bacillota; Clostridia; Eubacteriales; Clostridiaceae
Description: SAM riboswitch (S box leader)
Rfam family: SAM riboswitch aptamer (S box leader)
About the family: The SAM riboswitch is found upstream of a number of genes which code for proteins involved in methionine or cysteine biosynthesis in Gram-positive bacteria. The SAM riboswitch acts at the level of transcription termination control.
Source: RNAcentral
CUUAUCAAGAGAGACAAAGGGAUUGGUCCGAUGAAGCCCGACAUCCAGCAUUUAUCAUUAGAAUGUAUUGGUGUCAAUUCCUGCAGGAAAAAAUUCUGACAGAUAAGG